UGUGAAUAUAUCGUUCAAAUUGCUACUACUUUCCUACAAAGCGCUGGCGAAAGAAAUCUCACGAUUUUUGUAUGGGGUUUUAAACAAUUAUUCUGGUCAACUUAUUUGACCUAUGCCAACAUGAUUGAGAAGAUAAAAGUACACUCAUAGCCUACUAGGAAGGUUUCUUCUUUUGGAUUUUUGCUGUUACAUAUGACGCAUGUUACUUGUUUCCUUAGGUUGAUGGCAAAAGUUUUCUAACUUGGGCUAUAUCCUUCUUUGAACCAAGAAGGGAUCGGUAGACGGAAAGUUUUUUGGUCCGUUGAAAUCAAAACCUACCGAUAAUGCGAGGACCUUAAAGCCGUGUAACUACUAAAACAAAGAUUUAAAUUAGUGAAUGUGAUGUUUCUUACAUUACUUUGUGCUCCAAAAAUAAAUUUGACCAAAAUCUAUUUUAUGUACCAAUACUGCCAUUGGUAAACUUCUAAGCCAUUUGAAAAAUCCGCUAUAUUAAAUUUGGUGCUGCAAAUGUGAAGCUACAAUACGCAACUUCGGAUUCUUUAAAUUUAGGUCAUAAAGCAAUAUUGCCUUUCAUGAAAGUAAGGUUAAUGUUGGAAAACUGAUUUAAAUCACAUAACCUUAUUGUAUUGGUUGGUUAUAUCCGAUUUCUUGCAGAAGUACAUUCUGUGUUUUUGAACGUUUUUUGUACCGUGAAAGAAUUAAUCAAAAUUACUUUGGAGUUUCGAUUGAUUGUUAUGGGUUUACCUGGACUUUUUAAGAUUCUCUCUGCAUUGUUUAUCAUAUAAUGAGUAUUUAGCGUAAUGUUUAUAUCAUCGUUGUAAGCGGCAUUGCCGGCUCGGUUAGGUUUAAUCCUAAAGUUAUUUCUCUAACGGAAGCAAUAUAAAAACAACGGAAUUAGCCAUGCUUUCUUUCAACAUUUGAGUGCAAGUUUUUAAGUUUUGAGUGA
Schizosaccharomyces pombe (fission yeast) is the source of this 946-nucleotide non-coding RNA. Lineage: Eukaryota; Fungi; Ascomycota; Schizosaccharomycetes; Schizosaccharomycetales; Schizosaccharomycetaceae. The record is from the annotation of a GenBank genome assembly.